UCUUCCUACGGGAGGCAGCAGUCGGGAAUAUUGCGCGAUGGAGGAAACUCUGACGCAGUGACGCCGCGUAUAGGACGAAGGUCUUCGGAUUGUAAACUAUUGUCGUUAGGGAAGAGAAAGGACAGUACCUAAGGAGGAAGCUCCGGCUAACUACGUGCCAGCAGCCUCGGUAAUACGUAGGGAGCAAGCGUUAUCCGGAUUUAUUGGGUGUAAAGGGUGCGUAGACGGGAAAUUGAGUUAGUUGUGAAAUCCUUCGGCUCAACUGAGGAACUGCAGCUAGAACUGGAUUUCUUGCGUGUUGGAGA
This 305-nucleotide ribosomal RNA is filed under the name uncultured bacterium. RNAcentral describes it as "bacterial SSU rRNA". It matches the Rfam family "Bacterial small subunit ribosomal RNA", at positions 334 to 655 of the family's 1533-position model. The record is from RNAcentral.